GACGAACGCUGGCGGCGUGCUUAACACAUGCAAGUCGAACGCUGAAGCUCAGCUUGCUGGGUGGAUGAGUGGCGAACGGGUGAGUAACACGUGAGUAACCUGCCCUCUUCUUUGGGAUAACGCCCGGAAACGGGUGCUAAUACUGGAUAUUCACUGAUUCUCGCAUGGGGGUUGGUGGAAAGGUUUUUUCUGGUGGGGGAUGGGCUCGCGGCCUAUCAGCUUGUUGGUGGGGUGAUGGCCUACCAAGGCUUUGACGGGUAGCCGGCCUGAGAGGGUGACCGGUCACAUUGGGACUGGGAUACGGCCCAGACUCAUACGGGAGGCAGCAGUGGGGAAUAUUGCACAAUGGGCGAAAGCCUGAUGCAGCGACGCCGCGUGAGGGAUGGAGGCCUUCGGGUUGUAAACCUCUUUCGCUCAUGGUCAAGCCGCAGCUUGGGGUUGUGGUGAGGGUAGUGGGUAAAGAAGCGCCGGCUAACUACGUG
RNAcentral lists this ribosomal RNA (482 nucleotides) under uncultured bacterium. RNAcentral's name for it is "partial 16S ribosomal RNA". It matches the Rfam family "Bacterial small subunit ribosomal RNA", at positions 28 to 507 of the family's 1533-position model. The record is from RNAcentral.